RNAcentral lists this ribosomal RNA (263 nucleotides) under uncultured bacterium. RNAcentral describes it as "partial 16S ribosomal RNA". It matches the Rfam family "Bacterial small subunit ribosomal RNA", at positions 95 to 354 of the family's 1533-position model. The record is from RNAcentral.
CCGGCGCACGGGUGAGUAACGCGUAUGCAACCUGCCCGUUUCAGCGGGAUAACCCGGAGAAAUCCGGCCUAAUACCGCAUGUGGCCGAGGGGAGGCAUCUUCUUUCGGCCAAAGGAGGCAACUCCGGAGACGGAUGGGCAUGCGUGACAUUAGCUUGUUGGCGGGGUAACGGCCCACCAAGGCGACGAUGUCUAGGGGCUCUGAGAGGAAGGUCCCCCACACUGGUACUGAGACACGGACCAGACUCCUACGGAAGGCAGCAG